AAACUGCGAUAAGUAGUGUGAAUUGCAUUUAGUGAAUCAUCGAAUCUUUGAACGCACCCUGCACUCACUGGUAUUCCGGUGAGUACGCCUGUUUCAGUAUCAUUGAAAACACACAAUCAAAACAUUUUCUUUGGUUUGAUUGGCUUUGGGUCUAUCAAAAAGUUUGGCUUGUUUCUUACAAGCCAAGCGGCCUGAAAUAUAUUGUCUGGCUAAUUGCAUCGUUGAUGAUCGCUAUUAGACUUUGGCUUUUUUAAAUGAACUGGAGGUUGAUUAACCAGUUUUAGCUUUAGUCAAAUGGUCAUUGUAAAAAAAAUCUCGAUCUUGGCUAGGUGUUUAUAGCCGAAAAUUUUUUUUUGGCUAUAACCGAAACCGAUAUAAUCACAUUUAGUUAUCGAUCUGAAAUCAGGUGGGACUACCCGCUGAACUUAAGC
Molecule: unclassified non-coding RNA, 431 nt
Filed under: plant metagenome
Description: partial contains 5.8S ribosomal RNA, internal transcribed spacer 2, and large subunit ribosomal RNA
Rfam family: 5.8S ribosomal RNA (bases 1-102)
Source: RNAcentral